Molecule: ribosomal RNA, 1431 nt
Filed under: uncultured organism
Description: 16S ribosomal RNA
Rfam family: Bacterial small subunit ribosomal RNA
Source: RNAcentral
GCUUAACACAUGCAAGUCGAACGGAAAGGCCCUGCUUUUGUGGGGUGCUCGAGUGGCGAACGGGUGAGUAACACGUGAGUAACCUGCCCUUGACUUUGGGAUAACUUCAGGAAACUGGGGCUAAUACCGGAUAGGAGCUCCUGCUGCAUGGUGGGGGUUGGAAAGUUUCGGCGGUUGGGGAUGGACUCGCGGCUUAUCAGCUUGUUGGUGGGGUAGUGGCUUACCAAGGCUUUGACGGGUAGCCGGCCUGAGAGGGUGACCGGCCACAUUGGGACUGAGAUACGGCCCAGACUCCUACGGGAGGCAGCAGUGGGGAAUAUUGCACAAUGGGCGGAAGCCUGAUGCAGCAACGCCGCGUGCGGGAUGACGGCCUUCGGGUUGUAAACCGCUUUCGCCUGUGACGAAGCGUGAGUGACGGUAAUGGGUAAAGAAGCACCGGCUAACUACGUGCCAGCAGCCGCGGUGAUACGUAGGGUGCGAGCGUUGUCCGGAUUUAUUGGGCGUAAAGGGCUCGUAGGUGGUUGAUCGCGUCGGAAGUGUAAUCUUGGGGCUUAACCCUGAGCGUGCUUUCGAUACGGGUUGACUUGAGGAAGGUAGGGGAGAAUGGAAUUCCUGGUGGAGCGGUGGAAUGCGCAGAUAUCAGGAGGAACACCAGUGGCGAAGGCGGUUCUCUGGGCCUUUCCUGACGCUGAGGAGCGAAAGCGUGGGGAGCGAACAGGCUUAGAUACCCUGGUAGUCCACGCUGUAAACGGUGGGUACUAGGUGUGGGGUCCAUUCCACGGGUUCCGUGCCGUAGCUAACGCUUUAAGUACCCCGCGUGGGGAGUACGGCCGCAAGGCUAAAACUCAAAGGAAUUGACGGGGCCCCGCACAAGCGGCGGAGCAUGCGGAUUAAUUCGAUGCAACGCGUAGAACCUUACCUGGGUUUGACAUGGAUCGGGAGUGCUCAGAGAUGGGUGUGCCUCUUUUGGGGUCGGUUCACAGGUGGUGCAUGGCUGUCGUCAGCUCGUGUCGUGAGAUGUUGGGUUAAGUCCCGCAACGAGCGCAACCCUUGUUCACUGUUGCCAGCACGUUAUGGUGGGGACUCAGUGGAGACCGCCGGGGUCAACUCGGAGGAAGGUGGGGAUGACGUCAAGUCAUCAUGCCCCUUAUGUCCAGGGCUUCACGCAUGCUACAAUGGCUGGUACAGAGAGUGGCGAGCCUGUGAGGGUGAGCGAAUCUCGGAAAGCCGGUCUCAGUUCGGAUUGGGGUUUGCAACUCGACCUCAUGAAGUCGGAGUCGCUAGUAAUCGCAGAUCAGCAACGCUGCGGUGAAUACGUUCCCGGGGCUUGUACACACCGCCCGUCAAGUCAUGAAAGUUGGUAACACCCGAAGCCGGUGGCCUAACCGUUGUGGGGGAGCCGUCGAAGGUGGGACUGGUGAUUAGGACUAA